GAGGGUAUAGCUCAAGUGGUAGAGUGCAUGCUUAGCAUGCGUGAGGUCCUGGGUUCAAUCCCCAGUACCUCCU
Molecule: transfer RNA, 73 nt
Filed under: Camelus bactrianus (Bactrian camel)
Lineage: Eukaryota; Metazoa; Chordata; Mammalia; Artiodactyla; Camelidae
Also listed under: 2 other names
Rfam family: tRNA
About the family: Transfer RNA (tRNA) molecules are approximately 80 nucleotides in length. Their secondary structure includes four short double-helical elements and three loops (D, anti-codon, and T loops). Further hydrogen bonds mediate the characteristic L-shaped molecular structure. tRNAs have two regions of fundamental functional importance: the anti-codon, which is responsible for specific mRNA codon recognition, and the 3' end, to which the tRNAs corresponding amino acid is attached (by aminoacyl-tRNA synthetases). tRNAs cope with the degeneracy of the genetic code in two manners: having more than one tRNA (with a specific anti-codon) for a particular amino acid; and 'wobble' base-pairing, i.e. permitting non-standard base-pairing at the 3rd anti-codon position.
Source: Rfam by way of RNAcentral